Molecule: ribosomal RNA, 458 nt
Filed under: uncultured bacterium
Lineage: Bacteria
Description: bacterial SSU rRNA
Rfam family: Bacterial small subunit ribosomal RNA
Source: RNAcentral
GAUGAAUGCUGGCGGCGUGCCUAAUACAUGCAAGUCGAGCGGUAAGGCCCUUCGGGGUACACGAGCGGCGGACGGCUGAGUAACGCGUGGGAACAUGCCCCAAAGUGAGGGAUAACGCACCGAAAGGUGUGCUAAUACCGCAUAUGGUCUUCGGAUUAAAGGAUUUAUCCGCUUUGGGAGUGGCCCGCGUACGAUUAGAUUGUUGGUGAGGUAACGGCUCACCAAGUCGACGAUCGUUAACUGGUCUGAGAGGAUGAUCAGUCAGACUGGAACUGAGACACGGUCCAGACUCCUACGGGAGGCAGCAGUAAGGAAUCUUCCACAAUGGGCGAAAGCCUGAUGGAGCAACGCCGCGUGCAGGAUGAAGGCCCUCGGUCGUAAACUGCUUUAUGAGUGAAGAAUAUGACGGUAACUCAUGAAUAAGCACCGGCUAACUACGUGCCAGCAGCCGCGGUAAU